GACGAACGCUGGCGGCGUGCUUAACACAUGCAAGUCGAACGGUAAGGCCCCUUCGGGGGUACACGAGUGGCGAACGGGUGAGUAACACGUGAGCAACCUGCCCUUGACUCUGGAAUAACAGUUGGAAACAGCUGCUAAUACCGGUUAUGACCUGUCACCGCAUGGUGGUGGGUGGAAAGUUCCGGCGGUCAGGGAUGGGCUCGCGGCCUAUCAGCUUGUUGGUGAGGUAACGGCUCACCAAGGCUUCGACGGGUAGCCGGCCUGAGAGGGCGACCGGCCACACUGGGACUGAGAUACGGCCCAGACUCCUACGGGAGGCAGCAGUGGGGAAUAUUGCACAAUGGGCGAAAGCCUGAUGCAGCAACGCCGCGUGCGGGAUGACGGCC
Molecule: ribosomal RNA, 386 nt
Filed under: uncultured bacterium
Lineage: Bacteria
Description: bacterial SSU rRNA
Rfam family: Bacterial small subunit ribosomal RNA
Source: RNAcentral